CGCUCCGGUACCGCGCGGGGCCUGCACGCGGCGGCAGUGGACGCCGGGACCAGGAGAGCGCGCGGCGCCGACCGACCGGGGUGCGGGCGUGGAAGGGAUGCCCAGAUGUCUGGCGCGGCUCCAGGACACAGAUGGAGCGAGGCAGAGUGGACGGCGGUGUCCGUAGAGGAGACGCAGCCCCGGAGAGGAAGAAGGAGGGGGAGACUGAGGGGCAGUGGGGUCACCCCCCAGCACUGGACCAGGCCCCAUGGCCCACGUGGACCUCUGUGACCCUCGAGGUGGAAGAGUGAAGCAGGGUACCCCUGGGGCACCCAGGACCUGGCCGAGCCCGGAGGCUGAGGCGGGGUGAGAAGUUGGCACAGCUGAGGUC
Long non-coding RNA from Globicephala melas (long-finned pilot whale), 370 nucleotides. RefSeq lists it as uncharacterized. NCBI's taxonomy places the organism in Eukaryota, Metazoa, Chordata, Mammalia, Artiodactyla, Delphinidae. The record is from RefSeq and is a predicted model, not a curated record.